Molecule: ribosomal RNA, 253 nt
Filed under: uncultured bacterium
Lineage: Bacteria
Description: partial 16S ribosomal RNA
Rfam family: Bacterial small subunit ribosomal RNA
Source: RNAcentral
UACGAAGGGGGCUAGCGUUGUUCGGAAUUACUGGGCGUAAAGCGCGCGCAGGCGGUCUUCCAAGUCAGUGGUGAAAGCCCGGAGCUCAACUCCGGAACUGCCAUUGAAACUGUUGGACUUGAGUACGAGAGAGGUGAGUGGAAUUCCCAGUGUAGAGGUGAAAUUCGUAGAUAUUGGGAAGAACACCGGUGGCGAAGGCGGCUCACUGGCUCGUAACUGACGCUCAGGCGCGACAGCGUGGGGAUCAAACAGG